UAUCUCUCUGUACAGGGAAGGAUGAGAAGCUUCGAUUAAGGUUCGACUCGAGCGGAAGCGAGAGAACGUUGCCAACGGCAACGGCCCGAA
RNAcentral lists this small RNA (90 nucleotides) under Salmonella enterica. Its description in RNAcentral is "partial RtT sRNA". It matches the Rfam family "RtT RNA", at positions 1 to 88 of the family's 130-position model. From Rfam's summary of the family: This family represents a bacterial cis-regulatory element known as RtT RNA. The exact function of RtT is unknown although it is thought that it may be involved in changing the cellular response in relation to amino acid starvation. RNAcentral also lists the same sequence under 1 other name. Lineage: Bacteria; Pseudomonadati; Pseudomonadota; Gammaproteobacteria; Enterobacterales; Enterobacteriaceae. The record is from RNAcentral.